Long non-coding RNA from Toxorhynchites rutilus septentrionalis, 1633 nucleotides. RefSeq lists it as uncharacterized. The transcript has 3 exons. The record is from RefSeq and is a predicted model, not a curated record. Lineage: Eukaryota; Metazoa; Arthropoda; Insecta; Diptera; Culicidae.
UAUAGCAGAGAAAGAAGUAAAUACCCUUAUACAGCUGCUCGAUUCACCCAGGCAUAUGUCUAUAUGCAUAGAUCGCACACAGGGUCAAACUAUGGCAAACACAUUCUAGUGUAAACAAGUCUGGGCAUAAUAGAGUAUAAUUUAGGGGAGUAACACACUUAAAGUGUCGAAAAAAUAGAAAAGCUGGAUAAAACUGUAGAAAUUUGAAAUUGCUGGAGAUUUUUUGCCUAGGCUGUUUUGCUUACAUGCUUCAAAAAACUGCCAAUGAGGAAAAACUGGAAGGUUGGCAACUCAAGUCAACCGCAAGCGAUCGGUUACGUAUUACUAAGGCCAUCUACACACUAGGCAACCUAAGUUGGAAAGCAACUUAACGAAUCUGUCAAAAAAGUUGAGAACAUGUGUAAUCAAAUGGGAGCAUACACACUAGGCAACUGGCAACUUUGGUCGGACCAACUUUUUCGAUUCAACUCAGCAUGUCGAGUCGCGCGCGAUUUGUGUCGGCAACCUUUUCGUUCAAUUGCUGUUGACGUUUUGAUUUCUGCGUUCAUUGAAUUUCAAUAUCUGUCAGUGGUGAUGCAAAACAGUGUUUACAAUAUUGGCGCAUCUGUUUCUAUGAACGAACGAGAUGAAAUGCCAUCAAUAUGCAAGUUCUCUUGAUAUACCGUCCGGGAAGAGUGCUGAAUUGGUCAAGGAUGCGUAUAAUAUUGGAGAUUGAGCAAGAAGCACAGAAUCCGCUGGAUGUGUUUUUUCCAAGUUAACAGCAAUUGUUGUUGUCUGUUGUUAUCAGCGAGCCGAAAUAAGUAUGUUAGAUAGCCUAAGAUUGGAUAAUUCUGGUCAGAUUUCCCGGGAAACCGUUAUCAUCCCUGAUUCUCGAUUGUACCAUGUGCGAAGGUGCGGUCUGCGAAUAUGUGACCCCUGGGAGAAUUUUUCAUAUUUAGCGUUAGUGUAUACAUAAAUCAUUGUUUAGAAGAAUUGUUGAAAAUUUUUCUGUUUUCCUUAUAUAAUUCUAUUCGGCUGUAUUCUUAUUUCAAUGAUUUUUUUAUGUUUGUAAAUAUUGUUUGCUGGUUUGUGGUAUUACUCCAACGAAAAAUAAAUAUAUACAUCCAUUUUUUAGAAAUAUUUAGAAUUUAGAAAAAAAGCAGAACCCAAAAGAAAUUCUGAAAUCUAUUGUACACACGAAGGAAUAUCAACACAACGGUACAUUUUUUAAAUAAAAAUGGUAUUAUUGUUUGAUAUAUGAGAUGAAACACCUUCGAAAAAAGUACAUCCAGGAAUGCCAGAUAAGCAGAUUUUUUUUCUGCUAUAGUGUAAAUUGUAUUUCAAAUGUGCCCUUUUGAUUCUAUUGUAGUUUUAAGAAGCCGCGUAUGCAUUCAAUUUGAUUCGAUGAUUUGUGAAAUUAAGUUUUUAUUUAUUUUUUCUUUGCCUGGUGUCAAGAAAAAUCCCAAGUAAAGUAGUUUUUUUCAAACCAAUUUUUCAUAAUUUGCUCUCCGUAUGAUUUUUUCGGCAGUUAAAUAAAUGGCAUCUCUGCCAGCGAUUAGGCAGUUUAUGAUGACGGAUAAAAACUUAACGAAUUCAUCGCGUUCGAGUUGUCUCAAUGUGCAGAGCUGAGUUGGCGAUGCGAUUGACAUCGCCA